CCAAUAAGUCACAUCUGGAGCUUUUCUAGCACCAGCUCCUUCAUGGGAAGCAAGGAGGUGGGAUGGAAUUCGGACCCGGGGCCACUUGCACUUAUUGUAGAGUUCUGGCCCUCUUCAACUAAGUCUCAGUUUUCUCAUCUGUAAGGGGACUUAUUAAGAUGAUAGUUUCUUCAUAUGUCUGUUCUGAGGAUUCAAUGAGUCCGUAUUGCAGUGUUCGGCACAGCAUCUAUGAGCCCCAGGCUGGACUUCACCCAGCCUAGUCCUUGUCUCUCAGGGGAACCCAGGGAGGAGCAGUGGGUAGGACUUGACUCCUGGAGAAUCAAUUCUAAAGGAGUUAGGAGUGGCAUUCUGUUCCAGGUGAAACCCAUUGGUAGAAGCAACACAAAAGCCAGCCAACGUUUUCUAGGUACUUUGAAUUGACAAAGUAUUGAGACAUCAGACAUUCCCAGACGGCCAAACCAUAAGACAUGUGGUACUGCUCCAGGAUGUGCCAGAGCUGGGUUGCAGGUCAUUGACAAGGUGAAUAGCAAUGUCAGAGCAAUUCUGUCUACUGAUUGAAGUUCCUAGCUGUAGGGACUAAGUGGCAAGCUAUUGCCUAGACCAGCUGAUCUGAGCUGUACCAUGCACUGCUGACUCUGUGCACAAGUUGCCCUCUCAGUGAAAUUAGAGGACGGGACCAAAUGUGGCACUCCUGUGCCACGAGUGUUUGGAAGCCCACCGCCUGUAGAUGGAUGCCCUUCGGAUUCUUGCUCUGUGAACUCAGCCUCCACCAUCUGCUAUUCUGGUAUUUGCUGGGCUACACGUUUAGGAUCUAGGGUAUUGGUCUUUACCUCAUCACUAUCUUUUCCACUCACUUGUUUUAGAACUUGCUGUGUGCCAGGCCCUGUUCCUGGUGCUCUUGCAAUAUUAAUGAACUUUAACUUUACAAUGAUGGGUAUGCAUCAUACCCAUUUUGGAGGCAGGAACAUGGAGGCACUGGCAAAUGAAAUAAUUUGCUCAAGGCCAGUUAUCUAGGGAGGGGCAGAGCAGGAUUCAGUCUCUGGGCAAUGGGGCUCUAGAGUUGUGAUCACCACCCUGUGCCAUCUCUGGGCAAAAAGUUGAAAGUGUAAUGAUCAAAUGAAGUCAGGCAGUCAUAACAUAUGCAAGA
This is a non-coding RNA of Ictidomys tridecemlineatus (thirteen-lined ground squirrel), 1147 nucleotides long. The record is from RefSeq and is a predicted model, not a curated record. NCBI's taxonomy places the organism in Eukaryota, Metazoa, Chordata, Mammalia, Rodentia, Sciuridae.